GAAAACGACCCUAUAUGAUCCUCGUUCCUCAACCGCCUGCGGCGAAUUUGUGAGCGAGAUGUUAUUUCCCCUAUCUUAAUUAGGAAACUGCAAUUCUCCGACAGGGGGUCUCGAAUGCUAAACGGAGGGGAGGACUUCCACGUGUCUUUGUGAUUUGACACACAGAUGAAGUACGAAUACCGACGGCGACGGCACCCCCUUGGGAAUGCACUGACGCUCAUGUCCGAAAGCGUGUGGCCCAAACUUGAUUUUAUACCCUGGUAUUCCACGCUGUAUACACUGUCGAUUUGGGGAAAGGACUAUAUGCUUGGAGCCCGAACCUAACGUGAUAAAUCAUACCGCCUGAGGAGUACCGCCGCCAAGUUAAAACUCAAAUGAAUUGACGGGGGCCCGCACAAGCGCUGGAACCUGUGGUUUAACUCUAUGCAACUCCAAUAACCUUACCUACUCUUGACAUCCUAAGAAGAGCUCACAUAUGAUCUUGUGCCUUCGGGAACUUAGACACAGGUGCUGCAUGGCUGUCGUCACCUCGCGUCGCGAAAUGUUGGGCUACGUCCCGCAACCAGCGCAACCCUUAUCCUUUGUUGCCAACGAUUCAGCCGGGAACUCACAGGAGACUGACAGUGACAAACUGGAGGAAGGUGGGGAUGACAUCAAGUCAUCAUGGCCCUUACUACUAGGGCUACACACGUGCUACAAUGGUGCAUACAGAGGGCAGCGAGAGUGCGAGCUUGAGCGAAUCUCAGAAAGUGCAUCUAAGUCCGGAUUGGAGUCUGCAACUCGACUCCAUGAAGUCGGAAUCGCUAGUAAUCGCAAAUCAGAAUGUUGCGGUGAAUACGUUCCCGGGCCUUGUACACACCGCCCGUCACACCAUGGGAGUGGGUUGUACCAGAAGUAGAUAGCUUAACCUUCGGGAAGGCGUUACCACGGUAUGAUUCAUGAACUGGGUGAAGUCGUACAAGGGUAACCGUAAAAAAAAAAAAAAGAAAAAA
This 992-nucleotide ribosomal RNA is filed under the name Pasteurella multocida. Its description in RNAcentral is "bacterial SSU rRNA". It matches the Rfam family "Bacterial small subunit ribosomal RNA", at positions 534 to 1533 of the family's 1533-position model. Lineage: Bacteria; Pseudomonadati; Pseudomonadota; Gammaproteobacteria; Pasteurellales; Pasteurellaceae. The record is from RNAcentral.